RNAcentral lists this long non-coding RNA (718 nucleotides) under Homo sapiens (human). Its description in RNAcentral is "HSALNT0312243". The record is from RNAcentral. Lineage: Eukaryota; Metazoa; Chordata; Mammalia; Primates; Hominidae.
UUUGUUUUAUUUUUUGGAGAGUGCUUAUUUUUAAUUUUAUUCUUUUAAAACUAAGGCACAUUUGACAAAAAAACGCAUAUAUUGAUGGCAUAUGAGGUGAUGUAUUGAUAUAGGUAUACGUUGUAAAAUGAUACAAUCAAGCUAAUUAACAGAUCCAUCACCUCACAUACUUAUUUUUUGUUGUGAAUAGAGUUGAGAUCUAAUAUCUUAACAAUUUCCAAGUAUUCAAUACAUUAUUAUCAACUAUGGUUACUAUCCUACAACAGAUAUCCAAACUUAUCCAAUUUGUGUUUAUCAGAUCACUUGGGUCUCCAUGUAGAGAAUGCACUGAAGAGGCCAAGGAUGUAAGUCCAAAGCCCAGGGAGGAGACCACUGGAGUAGCUCAGACAUCAGUCCUUGUCAGUACAUAUCAACUAUCCUGAUGUUAUAAAGUCAUACUCUCAGAACCAUAUUUUGACAUGUUAAUAACCAUCCACUUAACAAAGAGUCUGACUAAAUUUAUUUAUAAGGGAACCCCAUUUUAUGCUGUCUUGGCAAGACAAAGAAAAUCCAAGUUGUGCAUGGCAGUAAAGGGGAGCCUGGAAGCAUCUCUGGCAGUUCCUUUCUUUCCCAAUUCUGAAGUGGGAAAAAGUGAGAAAGAAGAGAAAGUGGAAGUAAUGAUGAAACAAAUGUGCAAAGACUGACCCUUACUGAUGUGCAUCAAUGAAAGGAGGACAAA